UACGUAGGGGGCAAGCGUUGUCCGGAAUCAUUGGGCGUAAAGAGCGUGUAGGCGGCUCGGUAAGUCCGCUGUGAAAUUCCAGGGCUCAACCCUGGAAUGCCGGUGGAAACUGUCGAGCUAGAGUCCGGAAGAGGCGAGUGGAAUUCCUGGUGUAGCGGUGAAAUGCGCAGAUAUCGGGAGGAACACCAAUGGCGAAGGCAGCUCGCUGGGACGGGACUGACGCUGAGACGCGAAAGCGUGGGGAGCAAACAGG
RNAcentral lists this ribosomal RNA (253 nucleotides) under uncultured bacterium. RNAcentral's name for it is "partial 16S ribosomal RNA". It matches the Rfam family "Bacterial small subunit ribosomal RNA", at positions 524 to 776 of the family's 1533-position model. The record is from RNAcentral.